ACGGGUGAGUAACACGUGGGCAACCUGCCCUUGAGACUGGGAUAACUUCGGGAAACCGGAGCUAAUACCGGAUAAUAUAAGGAACCUCCUGGUUCCUUGUUGAAAGAUGGUUUCGGCUAUCACUUAAGGAUGGGCCCGCGGCGCAUUAGCUAGUUGGUGAGGUAACGGCUCACCAAGGCGACGAUGCGUAGCCGACCUGAGAGGGUGAUCGGCCACACUGGGACUGAGACACGGCCCAGACUCCUACGGGAGGCAGCAGUAGGGAAUCUUCCACAAUGGACGAAAGUCUGAUGGAGCAACGCCGCGUGAGUGAUGAAGGCCUUCGGGUCGUAAAGCUCUGUUGUUAGGGAAGAACAAGUGCGAGAGUAACUGCUCGCACCUUGACGGUACCUAACCAGAAAGCCACGGCUAACUACGUGCCAGCAGCCGCGGUAAUACGUAGGUGGCAAGCGUUAUCCGGAAUUAUUGGGCGUAAAGCGCGCGCAGGUGGUUUCUUAAGUCUGAUGUGAAAGCCCACGGCUCAACCGUGGAGGGUCAUUGGAAACUGGGGAGCUUGAGUGCAGAAGAGGAAAGUGGAAUUCCA
RNAcentral lists this ribosomal RNA (583 nucleotides) under uncultured bacterium. RNAcentral's name for it is "bacterial SSU rRNA". It matches the Rfam family "Bacterial small subunit ribosomal RNA", at positions 102 to 671 of the family's 1533-position model. The record is from RNAcentral.